RNAcentral lists this long non-coding RNA (1828 nucleotides) under Homo sapiens (human). RNAcentral describes it as "non-protein coding lnc-MAGEL2-2:1". Lineage: Eukaryota; Metazoa; Chordata; Mammalia; Primates; Hominidae. The record is from RNAcentral.
GUAAGUGCGAGUGCUCUGGACAAAUACUGCUUGAGUUCCAGUCUUUGUUCCACUAAUUCACAGCUAUGGGUCGUAAACUCUACGGGCAAAACCUUUAAAUUCUCUAUUAUUUACCUCAUCAUGAUAAUGAGAAAAACUAUAGCAAGUACCACAUUAGGUAGUUCUGACAAAUUCAUCCUUUUGCAUGCAAAGUACAUGGUAUAAACUCUGUAAAUGUGCCAUCUUUGUUGGACAGUCAGGACAGUGUGAAUAACCUGGGACUCAAGAUUCAGACUCCCAGCAUAUUUUUCAGCUACUUCAGCCAAGAUAAGUGCAUUUGCAGUUGAUGCAGAUCAUACGUUGUACAGGUAAAUCAUUAAAAUGGCAUCAUUCUCUUUCACAUUCAUUUUUUCUUUGCUUGUUUGGUUACUAAAAAGAUGUAUUAAAAUUGUCCACUAAGAGUCUGGAUUUAGGAUUUUCAUCAGUUGUGUAUCUGAUACAAUGUUAUUAAAUGUAUACAAAAUUUGAAGUUAUAUAUUCCUGUGAAUUACAAUUUAAUGUUUAUGUACCAUUCCUUUUUAUCUCCAGCAAAGUGUUUAUCCUUACUAUAAACUUUGUCUACAAUCAAGAGAGUCCACAGCACCUGUUCGGCUUUUUCCCAUCCUACUACUUUGAGUGUUUCUGUAUUUUCAUGUUGUGUGUAUUUUAAACAGGAUGUUUCAUUCUGAUUGUAAUGAAGUCUUAUAGCCUUUGACUUUCAGUCUUUAAACUGCUUUCAUUUAAUCUAAUUAAGUUGUAUGUAGAUUUUCUAUAUUAGUCUUACACUUAGUUUUUAGUGCUUUCUAUAUUUUAUUAUUUUAUCUUUCCAUUCUUUUAUUCUCAUUGGUUUUAAUAUUUUUGUUCUAUUUUCCCUUUUAUAAUCUUGUUACUUUUAUGUUGAACUCUUUUGUCAAAAGCCCCUUGUUGGGAAAGUCUAGAGACUUUGUAUAUCAAAUACAAAGCACUGUGCCUCUGAGCCUAGGAUUUGCUGUUACAAAGAAUUAAUGAGAAGGUGGCUAAACUGCAUAGGAAAACCAUUUCUGUAUUUAUAGAGUAAGCUAUUAAUGCCAUUGUAAGAAUUACCAAUAUAGUGCUUUGUAAGUCCUCUAAGAUCUGCAUCUGUCACAUUUGGCCAGACCCACUUGAACAGUCCUUUUCAUUAGAUGCUAAUUACUGGCUUCUGUGCGAGGGACAGAAAGAUUAUUCACACAACUCACAUCCACACAACAGCCAAUCCUGUUAGGCUUUGACCUUCAGCUUUCAGCUCUGUAUUUACUUUAUUACAUAAACAUAAAUAUUAUAUUGUGAUGUAUAUUCUUUUAUAUAUUUUUUUCAAAUACAUAACUCUUAUACAUAUAUAUUUUUAUAUAUAUAAUUCUUAAAUAUAUAUUUCCAAAUAUAAAUUAUUUCAUGUCAAGCUAAACAGGAUAAAAACAUGUAAACAUAUACACUUGGUUUUGGUCAAGUAAAACACAAAAUCACAAGUUCAUCACAGUUUAACAAGUGCACUUGAAGGGGAAGGAGGGAAAGAACAAACUGUAAACAAACAGAUGAGCAGCUGCAAAGCCCUGCAAGGGUCCAUUUGUUAAGGCUAUUAUAGCACAAAGCUACUAGUUCAAUUAAAACUUCUCCUUUCACUCUGCCACAUUUACUCUUGAGGGUCUUCAAAAUAAGUGUGGAAAUUCAGUAAACACUACACUAGAACUGAGUUAAUCCUGUUGACAACAGAGAUGACAAAAAAAAGCCAUAAGCUGACAUUAAUAUUAAUUUCACCAAAACAGUAACUUUAAGGACUUAUUUUUUAACACAG